RNAcentral lists this ribosomal RNA (368 nucleotides) under uncultured organism. RNAcentral describes it as "bacterial SSU rRNA". It matches the Rfam family "Bacterial small subunit ribosomal RNA", at positions 526 to 896 of the family's 1533-position model. The record is from RNAcentral.
CGGAGGGUGCAAGCGUUAUCCGGAUUCACUGGGUUUAAAGGUGCGUAGGCGGGCAGGUAAGUCCGUGGUGAAAAUCUCUGAGCUUAACUCAGAAACUGCCAUGGAUACUAUUUGUCUUGAAUAUUGUGGAGGUAAGCGGAAUAUGUCAUGUAGCGGUGAAAUGCUUAGAUAUGACAUAGAACACCAAUUGCGAAGGCAGCUUACUACACAGUUAUUGACGCUGAGGCACGAAAGCGUGGGGAUCAAACAGGAUUAGAUACCCUGGUAGUCCACGCCCUAAACGAUGAUUACUCGACAUCAGCGAUACACUGUUGGUGUCUGAGCGAAAGCAUUAAGUAAUCCACCUGGGAAGUACGAUCGCAAGAUUG